GACGAACGCUGGCGGCGUGCUUAACACAUGCAAGUCGAACGGAAAGGCCCUGCUUUUGUGGGGUGCUCGAGUGGCGAACGGGUGAGUAACACGUGAGUAACCUGCCCUUGACUUUGGGAUAACUUCAGGAAACUGGGGCUAAUACCGGAUAGGAGCUCCUGCUGCAUGGUGGGGGUUGGAAAGUUUCGGCGGUUGGGGAUGGACUGGCGGCUUAUCAGCUUGUUGGUGGGGGAGUGGCUUACCAAGGCUUUGACGGGUAGCCGGCCUGAGAGGGUGACCGGCCACAUUGGGACUGAGAUACGGCCCAGACUCCUACGGGAGGCAGCAGUGGGGAAUAUUGCACAAUGGGCGGAAGCCUGAUGCAGCAACGCCGCGUGCGGGAUGACGGCCUUCGGGUUGUAAACCGCUUUCGCCUGUGACGAAGCGUGAGUGACGGUAAUGGGUAAAGAAGCACCGGCUAACUACGUG
This 468-nucleotide ribosomal RNA is filed under the name uncultured bacterium. Its description in RNAcentral is "partial 16S ribosomal RNA". It matches the Rfam family "Bacterial small subunit ribosomal RNA", at positions 28 to 507 of the family's 1533-position model. The record is from RNAcentral.